UUUAUAGAUCAUGUCUGUAAAAAUGGCGUGUACCUGCCGUUGCAGAAAUAUAUCAUAUUAGAUUGAAAAGAUGAUGACGCAAAUGGUUCAUUGAAUCAACGAUGGUUCUUGAGAUCGUAAACGCUUCGUGAGCAACUGUAGUAAAUAUAGAGCCAAAAUAUGCCUUGAAUCCCUUGCCCACAGGAGAACGGGUGUAUCUUUUAGAACAGAACCGACAGACUGCGGCUUCAUCUGUGUCUGUUAAAUUCUGAGUUGACUCCGGAUAACUUUGCUGAUCGCGAUCGACCUUGUGUCGGCAACGUAUGUUUUAAAUCUCCGACCCGUCAGUUUGUUGGUAGAUGGUUUUCCCAUCAUUAGGACAACGAGUGACGGGGGAUCAGGGUUCAACUCCGGAGAGGGGCCUGGGAAAUCGCUGCUACAUUCAAAGACGGCACCAGGCGCGCAGAGUACCCACUACGGCACGAGGAGGUAGUGAUGAA
Molecule: non-coding RNA, 479 nt
Filed under: Schistosoma mattheei
Lineage: Eukaryota; Metazoa; Platyhelminthes; Trematoda; Strigeidida; Schistosomatidae
Description: Eukaryotic small subunit ribosomal RNA
Rfam family: Eukaryotic small subunit ribosomal RNA
Source: Rfam by way of RNAcentral